This is a non-coding RNA of Cinara cedri, 224 nucleotides long. NCBI's taxonomy places the organism in Eukaryota, Metazoa, Arthropoda, Insecta, Hemiptera, Aphididae. The record is from the annotation of a GenBank genome assembly.
CGUGUACAAAACUCAAGUUUGCCAGAAAUUUCAAAUUUCAAGAAAUAUAACGUACCGUAAUAUUUGUUCCUAUAGUUGCGUCCGUUCCAGAUUAUCUCAUAUAAUAUGCGUACAGGAACGUCGAUGAUGUUGAUUUAAUUGGUAUAGCGUAAUGAUAUAACGUUUUCGAAUACAAAAAACGUACGAUGUUUUGGGGGCCGAUAAGCCGAUAAACGUGUUUUUUU